UUAUGUUUUGGUGUAUAGGCACAUAAAGUUUUGAUCUUUAGAGAAUUGGUGCAAUUCCAUUAAAUAUAAA
This 70-nucleotide transfer RNA is filed under the name Heterocarpus ensifer. RNAcentral's name for it is "tRNA-Gln". The record is from RNAcentral. Lineage: Eukaryota; Metazoa; Arthropoda; Malacostraca; Decapoda; Pandalidae. RNAcentral also lists the same sequence under 1 other name.